Non-coding RNA from Chlorocebus sabaeus (green monkey), 671 nucleotides. The record is from RefSeq and is a predicted model, not a curated record. NCBI's taxonomy places the organism in Eukaryota, Metazoa, Chordata, Mammalia, Primates, Cercopithecidae.
CUCUGCCUCCCGGAUUCAAGUGAUUCUCCUACCUCAGCCUCCUGAGUAACUGGGAUUACAGAAUAUAAUCAUCCCAUCCCCAAAGUCUGAACUUGUUCUAGCAUCAAUUCAAAAGUCCAAAGCCUCAUCUGAGACUCAAGGUAAGUUCCUUACAGCUGUGAGUCCAUGAAAUCAAACCUUCUAAACUCUUCCAACUUUUGCCCAUUACCCAGUUCCAAAGCCACUUCCACAUUUUCAAGUAUCUUUAUAGCAACCACCCUCUCCUUGGUACCAUUUGUCUUUCUUAGUUCAUUCAUGUUGCUAUAAAGAAAUGCCUGAGGCCUGGUAACUUGAAAAUAAAUUUUAUUUGGCUCACAGUUCUGCAGCCUGUACAAGAAGCCUGGUGCCAGUAUAUCCUAACCACAACAUCAUUGGUUGGACCAAUCCAGAAAAAGGGUUCUGAUUGUUCAGGCGCUCUUGUACAGUCAAAAGACUGGCAGCUGGUAUUUAUCUUUUCCCUUCAAGGCUCAGGGGUUAGCUGCUGUAUAGAUAAGGGCUGUCCUGAUGAUAAACCUGACUGCAUUUGCACAAAACAGUAGAGUUAGCUUUUCCCUUUCUGCCUUAAAUCUUGAUGCAUGAUUCUCUUCCUGACUAAUAAAUGUAUUUUGUGGCAUUUUUUCCUUACUAAUAAA